Long non-coding RNA from Capra hircus (goat), 630 nucleotides. RefSeq lists it as uncharacterized. The record is from RefSeq and is a predicted model, not a curated record. The transcript has 2 exons. NCBI's taxonomy places the organism in Eukaryota, Metazoa, Chordata, Mammalia, Artiodactyla, Bovidae.
AGAGAGAUAAAGAUAACCAGAGAGAGCUUCAGUGGAGGAAAUAGCUUGAAGUUGCAAACAAGGGCCACAGGGCAGGUGACUACAUGGGGUCGCCAAGAGAGUGGUGCUGAUACAGAAGAGAAGGGGAGAGAAUGAGCCCUCAGACACUUGAACCUUUAAAAAAUAGGAAGAAGAGGAACCACUAAAAUAAAUCUUGUAACCGAAACCAGUAGAAAAUUAUGUAGUAAUAGCAGAAGGAAAAUCAGCAGAGGAGUCAAGGAAGUCAGAUGACAAGUGACAAGAAGGAGCAAAAGAGGAACUGGGCAAAGACCUGUGAAGGAAGAGCUGGACAGAACUGCCCAUUGGCUUUGCCCCCGUGGAGGGGGUCCUUGGUGAACGUGGCACAAACAACUUCAGUAAAACCCUGGGGACAAAGACCACACUGCAGUGAAUUCAAGAGCAAACAGGAGGACAGGAAUCAAAGGCAACAAGCCUCAACACCUUUUCUGAACACAUUUUUCCCUAAGGGAAACAAAGAAAUAGGGCGUAAGUUGAGUCUUCGUCUUCACUUCAGAGAAUUUUCAUAGCAACCAGAACAAUGCAGUCACUCACAAAUGGUCUUGAGUGAAUAAAGAAAGAAAACAGAGACCA